GAUGAACGCUGGCGGCGUGCUUAACACAUGCAAGUCGAACGGAAAGGCCAGUGCUUGCACUGGUGCUCGAGUGGCGAACGGGUGAGUAACACGUGGGUGAUCUGCCCUGCACUUUGGGAUAAGCCUGGGAAACUGGGUCUAAUACCAGAUAGGACCAUGCUUUGGAUGGUGUGGUGGAAAGUUUUUUCGGUGUGGGAUGAGCUUGCGGCCUAUCAGCUUGUUGGUGGGGUAAUGGCCUACCAAGGCGUCGACGGGUAGCCGGCCUGAGAGGGUGUACGGCCACAUUGGGACUGAGAUACGGCCCAGACUCCUACGGGAGGCAGCAGUAGGGAAUAUUGCACAAUGGGCGCAAGCCUGAUGCAGCGACGCCGCGUGGGGGAUGACGGCCUUCGGGUUGUAAACUCCUUUCGCAACUGACGAAGCUUUUUGUGACGGUAGGUUGAGAAGAAGCACCGGCUAACUACGUG
This 467-nucleotide ribosomal RNA is filed under the name uncultured bacterium. RNAcentral's name for it is "partial 16S ribosomal RNA". It matches the Rfam family "Bacterial small subunit ribosomal RNA", at positions 28 to 507 of the family's 1533-position model. The record is from RNAcentral.